RNAcentral lists this transfer RNA (74 nucleotides) under Felis catus (domestic cat). It matches the Rfam family "tRNA". Rfam says of the family: Transfer RNA (tRNA) molecules are approximately 80 nucleotides in length. Their secondary structure includes four short double-helical elements and three loops (D, anti-codon, and T loops). Further hydrogen bonds mediate the characteristic L-shaped molecular structure. tRNAs have two regions of fundamental functional importance: the anti-codon, which is responsible for specific mRNA codon recognition, and the 3' end, to which the tRNAs corresponding amino acid is attached (by aminoacyl-tRNA synthetases). tRNAs cope with the degeneracy of the genetic code in two manners: having more than one tRNA (with a specific anti-codon) for a particular amino acid; and 'wobble' base-pairing, i.e. permitting non-standard base-pairing at the 3rd anti-codon position. Lineage: Eukaryota; Metazoa; Chordata; Mammalia; Carnivora; Felidae. The record is from Rfam by way of RNAcentral.
ACCUGGCUGGCUCAGUCAGUUAAAGCAUGUGAUUCCUGAUCUCAGGGUUGUGAGUUCAAGCCCCACAUUGGGUG